This 427-nucleotide ribosomal RNA is filed under the name uncultured bacterium. Its description in RNAcentral is "partial 16S ribosomal RNA". It matches the Rfam family "Bacterial small subunit ribosomal RNA", at positions 355 to 774 of the family's 1533-position model. The record is from RNAcentral.
UGGGGAAUAUUGCACAAUGGGCGCAAGCCUGAUGCAGCCAUGCCGCGUGUAUGAAGAAGGCCUUCGGGUUGUAAAGUACUUUCAGCGGGGAGGAAGGCGAUAAGGUUAAUAACCUUGUCGAUUGACGUUACCCGCAGAAGAAGCACCGGCUAACUCCGUGCCAGCAGCCGCGGUAAUACGGAGGGUGCAAGCGUUAAUCGGAAUUACUGGGCGUAAAGCGCACGCAGGCGGUCUGUCAAGUCGGAUGUGAAAUCCCCGGGCUCAACCUGGGAACUGCAUUCGAAACUGGCAGGCUAGAGUCUUGUAGAGGGGGGUAGAAUUCCAGGUGUAGCGGUGAAAUGCGUAGAGAUCCGGAGGAAUACCGGUGGCGAAGGCGGCCCCCUGGACAAAGACUGACGCUCAGGUGCGAAAGCGUGGGGAGCAAACA